CGCGCCUGACCGGGUGGCACAUCGAGGGACGGCUGCGGGAGCUCGGCCGCCCCGGCACGCCCGUCCCGGCCUCUGAGUGCCUGGCUGACCUCUUCCAGGGGCUGGAGAUUUACAACCGCGUGGUGCAAGAGCUGCUGGAGGAGCUGGGCCCCGAGGUGAAGGGCCCUGGCGCCUUCACGGUGGGUGGGGUGCUGCGGCUGCUGGCGGCCGAGCGGGGCCGGGCCGUGGCCCAGAGGCUCCGGCCCCUCCUGUGGCCCCAGAGUGGGACCAUCAGGGAUGGACACAUCUGCUGGGAGGACGUGGUGGUGCCACGGCCACCGGGGCACGAUGCAGUGGAGGUGGACACGGAACCUUCCGGAGCAGAGGUGCCAGCAGUGCUGGCAGCUGAGCUGCAGGCAGUGUGCCAGGAGGAUGAGGAGCUGAUGGGACACGUUUUUGGGGCGCUGGUGGCCUCAGCUGACAGCCUGUGGCAACCAGUGCUGUCAGAGAGCCCCGAGCCCCCGGGGCUGCGGCCGGGCAGUGCAGGUGGCUGGAAGGCCGUGCGCUGGCUGGACGCCGCCCGCGGCCCCGUGGCUGCCACGCUGAGCGCCCGGUACCGCCUGCUGCUCUGGGAGGCCGUGGGCACUGUGCUGGCAGACAGCCCGGGCGCCCCUCCUGCCACCCCCAGUGCCACCGUCACGGCGGCGCGGGAGCUGAGCCGUGCGCUCGCUGUUGCCCGUGUGCCCGCUGAGUGCCAGGAGGAGCUGGGGGGGCUCUGCCUGCGCCUGCUGUGCCGCAGCGUCCUCUGCAGCUGGGACACGGAUUUUACCCGUGCUCUGGGCUCAGGGCUCUCAGACAAGUGCUUGGAGGCGCCAGGGGGUUCCGUGGGGCCAGGGUGCAGCCGCACGGCCCAGCAGCUCCGGUGCCUCUUCCCGGCCCUGGCACUGGCCCUGCGCUGCCUGCGCCUGCUGCCCGCCCGCCCGCACGGUGAGAGGGGUCUGGGGUGGGGGCGUGUGGGUCUGGAGAUCCUCUCGGUGCUGACCCCCACCCGCA
This 1032-nucleotide long non-coding RNA is filed under the name Chloebia gouldiae (Gouldian finch). RNAcentral describes it as "Erythrura gouldiae (Gouldian finch) lncRNA (ENSEGOG00005001613.1)". Lineage: Eukaryota; Metazoa; Chordata; Aves; Passeriformes; Passeridae. The record is from RNAcentral.